AAGGUCCUACGGGGGGCAGCAGUGGGGAAUAUUGCGCAAUGGGCGAAAGCCUGACGCAGCGACGCCGCGUGAGGGAUGAAGGCCUUCGGAUCGUAAACCUCUGUCAGCAGGGAAGAACGGUCACUGUGCUAAUCAGCAGCGAAUUGACGGUACCUGCAAGGGAAGCACCGGCUAACUCCGUGCCAGCAGCCGCGGUAAUACGGAGGGUGCGAGCGUUAAUCGGAAUUACUGGGCGUAAAGCGCUCGUAGGCGGUAUGUCAAGUCAAGGGUGAAAUCCCCGCGCUCAACGGGGGAGCUGCCUUUGA
Molecule: ribosomal RNA, 305 nt
Filed under: uncultured bacterium
Lineage: Bacteria
Description: bacterial SSU rRNA
Rfam family: Bacterial small subunit ribosomal RNA
Source: RNAcentral